This 503-nucleotide ribosomal RNA is filed under the name uncultured bacterium. RNAcentral's name for it is "partial 16S ribosomal RNA". It matches the Rfam family "Bacterial small subunit ribosomal RNA", at positions 30 to 523 of the family's 1533-position model. The record is from RNAcentral.
AUUGAACGCUGGCGGCAGGCUUAACACAUGCAAGUCGAGCGGGGUGAUGGUGCUUGCACUAUCACUUAGCGGCGGACGGGUGAGUAAUGCUUAGGAAUCUGCCUAUUAGUGGGGGACGACAUCUCGAAAGGGAUGCUAAUACCGCAUACGUCCUACGGGAGAAAGCAGGGGAUCACUUGUGACCUUGCGCUAAUAGAUGAGCAUAAGUCGGAUUAGCUAGUUGGUGGGGUAAAGGCCUACCAAGGCGACGAUCUGUAGCGGGUCUGAGAGGAUGAUCCGCCACACUGGGACUGAGACACGGCCCAGACUCCUACGGGAGGCAGCAGUGGGGAAUAUUGGACAAUGGGGGGAACCCUGAUCCAGCCAUGCCGCGUGUGUGAAGAAGGCCUUAUGGUUGUAAAGCACUUUAAGCAAGGAGGAGGCUCUUUUGGUUAAUACCCAAGAUGAGUGGACGUUACUCGCAGAAUAAGCACCGGCUAACUCUGUGCCAGCCGCCGCAGUAA